Long non-coding RNA from Lolium perenne, 366 nucleotides. RefSeq lists it as uncharacterized. The record is from RefSeq and is a predicted model, not a curated record. NCBI's taxonomy places the organism in Eukaryota, Viridiplantae, Streptophyta, Magnoliopsida, Poales, Poaceae.
UCCUUAUUGAAACCGUAUUGCUAAUCUUGCUAACAUCAGGAUAGUGUGGCCGUGCAGGCACUCUGCUGUCGCGACAGACAGGAGAGGGGUAGAUCCAGCUUGGUGGCUUCGGGGGAAAAAGGAGAGAAUGAUUCCAAAACCAGAAACUUUGCUCACUUUCUCUUCACUGGAGUUCUCUCUCAUGAUUAUCGGAGCAACAUUAGAUCAACUAUUAUAAUUUUAUUGGAACUGCUUGCAGCUGUUAUAAUAUGUGAGGUCAUAUAUCAGAGAAUUAAUUAUGAGUAGCCUGAAAUUACUUAGUUGUAUAUGCCUAUAUUGAUAGACAAUUCAUCUGCUGACUGACACAGUUUGCUUCUAACAAAUGGA